ACGUAGGGGGCGAGCGUUGUCCGGAAUUACUGGGCGUAAAGCGCACGUAGGCGGGCUGUUAAGUCGGCCGUGAAAGGCACUGGCUCAACCGGUGUUUGUCGGUCGAUACUGGCGGUCUGGAGUAUGGGAGAGGGGACUGGAAUUCCCGGUGGAGCGGUGACAUGCGUAGUGAUCGGGAGGAGGACCAGUGGCGGGGGGGGGUACCUGGACCAUUUCCGCCGCUGGGGUGCGAAAGCGGGGGGAGGGAGGGG
RNAcentral lists this ribosomal RNA (251 nucleotides) under uncultured prokaryote. RNAcentral describes it as "partial 16S rRNA". It matches the Rfam family "Bacterial small subunit ribosomal RNA", at positions 525 to 775 of the family's 1533-position model. The record is from RNAcentral.